AACGAACGCUGGCGGCGUGCCUAACACAUGCAAGUCGCGCGAGAAAGUGGGGGCAACUCCACGAGUAAAGCGGCGCACGGGUGAGUAAUACGUAGGUAACCUGCCUUCGAGAUCGGGAUAACCUUCCGAAAGGAGGGCUAAUACUGGAUAAGACCACAGACUUUCGGCUCCGUGGUCAAAGGUGGCCUCUGCUCGCAAGCUACCGCUCGAAGAUGGGCCUGCGCACCAUUAGCUAGUUGGCAAGGUAACGGCUCACCAAGGCGAAGAUGGUUAGCUGAUCUGAGAGGAUGAUCAGCCACACUGGGACUGAGACACGGCCCAGACUCCUACGGGAGGCAGCAGUGGGGAAUCUUGGACAAUGGGGGAAACCCUGAUCCAGCGACGCCGCGUGGGUGAUGAAGGCCUUCGGGUCGCAAAGCCCUGUCGGGGGGGAAGAAACUCUUGCCGGUGAACAAUCGGCGAGACCGACGGUACCCCCUAAGGAAGCACCGGCUAACUCCGUGCCAGCAGCCGCAGUAA
RNAcentral lists this ribosomal RNA (519 nucleotides) under uncultured bacterium. RNAcentral describes it as "partial 16S ribosomal RNA". It matches the Rfam family "Bacterial small subunit ribosomal RNA", at positions 29 to 523 of the family's 1533-position model. The record is from RNAcentral.